GGGACACGUGGUAUCCUGUCUGAAUAUGGGGGGACCAUCCUCCAAGGCUAAAUACUCCUGACUGACCGAUAGUGAACCAGUACCGUGAGGGAAAGGCGAAAAGAACCCCGGCGAGGGGAGUGAAAAAGAACCUGAAACCGUGUACGUACAAGCAGUGGGAGCACGCUUAGGCGUGUGACUGCGUACCUUUUGUAUAAUGGGUCAGCGACUUAUAUUCUGUAGCAAGGUUAACCGAAUAGGGGAGCCGAAGGGAAACCGAGUCUUAACUGGGCGUUAAGUUGCAGGGUAUAGACCCGAAACCCGGUGAUCUAGCCAUGGGCAGGUUGAAGGUUGGGUAACACUAACUGGAGGACCGAACCGACUAAUGUUGAAAAAUUAGCGGAUGACUUGUGGCUGGGGGUGAAAGGCCAAUCAAACCGGGAGAUAGCUGGUUCUCCCCGAAAGCUAUUUAGGUAGCGCCUCGUGAAUUCAUCUCCGGGGGUAGAGCACUGUUUCGGCAAGGGGGUCAUCCCGACUUACCAACCCGAUGCAAACUGCGAAUACCGGAGAAUGUUAUCACGGGAGACACACGGCGGGUGCUAACGUCCGUCGUGAAGAGGGAAACAACCCAGACCGCCAGCUAAGGUCCCAAAGUCAUGGUUAAGUGGGAAACGAUGUGGGAAGGCCCAGACAGCCAGGAUGUUGGCUUAGAAGCAGCCAUCAUUUAAAGAAAGCGUAAUAGCUCACUGGUCGAGUCGGCCUGCGCGGAAGAUGUAACGGGGCUAAACCAUGCACCGAAGCUGCGGCAGCGACGCUGAUGCGUUGUUGGGUAGGGGAGCGUUCUGUAAGCCUGCGAAGGUGUGCUG
This 845-nucleotide ribosomal RNA is filed under the name Escherichia coli. RNAcentral describes it as "partial 23S ribosomal RNA". It matches the Rfam family "Bacterial large subunit ribosomal RNA", at positions 419 to 1263 of the family's 2925-position model. The record is from RNAcentral. Lineage: Bacteria; Pseudomonadati; Pseudomonadota; Gammaproteobacteria; Enterobacterales; Enterobacteriaceae.